UACGGAGGGGGCUAGCGUUGUUCGGAAUUACUGGGCGUAAAGCGCACGUAGGCGGCUUUGCAAGUUAGAGGUGAAAGCCCGGGGCUCAACUCCGGAAUUGCCUUUAAAACUGCAUCGCUAGAAUUGUGGAGAGGUAAGUGGAAUUCCGAGUGUAGAGGUGAAAUGCGUAGAUAUCGGGAGGAACACCAGUGGCGAAGGCGACUACCUGGCCUGUUCUUGACGCUGAGGCGCGAAAGCUAGGGGAGCAAACGGG
Molecule: ribosomal RNA, 253 nt
Filed under: uncultured bacterium
Lineage: Bacteria
Description: partial 16S ribosomal RNA
Rfam family: Bacterial small subunit ribosomal RNA
Source: RNAcentral